UACGGAGGGUGAAAGCGUUAUCCGGAUUAACUGGGUUUAACGGGAGCGUAGGUGGGCUGGUAAGUCAGUGGUGAAAUCUCCGGGCUUAACCCGGAAACUGCCGUUGAUACUAUCAGUCUUGAAUGUUGUGGAGGUAAGCGGAAUAUGUCAUGUAGCGGUGAAAUGCUUAGAUAUGACAUAGAACACCGAUAGCGAAGGCAGCUUGCUACACAAUGAUUGACACUGAGGCUCGAAAGCGUGGGGAGCAAACAGG
Molecule: ribosomal RNA, 253 nt
Filed under: uncultured bacterium
Lineage: Bacteria
Description: partial 16S ribosomal RNA
Rfam family: Bacterial small subunit ribosomal RNA
Source: RNAcentral